This 932-nucleotide ribosomal RNA is filed under the name Gymnophalloides macomae. RNAcentral's name for it is "eukaryotic LSU rRNA". It matches the Rfam family "Eukaryotic large subunit ribosomal RNA", at positions 45 to 656 of the family's 3401-position model. The record is from RNAcentral. Lineage: Eukaryota; Metazoa; Platyhelminthes; Trematoda; Gymnophallidae.
ACUAAGCGGAGGAAAAGAAACUAACAAGGAUUCCCUUAGUAACGGCGAGUGAACAGGGAAGAGCCCAGCACCGAAGCCUGUGACUAUUUGGUCUCUAGGCAAUGUGGUGUUUAGGUCGUUCUUCAGAGACACUGUCCCACCCUAAGUCCACUAUUGAGUGCGGCGUUUACCUGUCCCAGAGAGGGUGAAAGGCCCGUAAGGGUGGGAUUCAGACAGGCCAGUGUUUCUCUAGAUAGACCUUGGAGUCGGGUUGUUUGUGAAUGCAGCCCAAAGUGGGUGGUAAACUCCAUCCAAGGCUAAAUACUUGCACGAAUCCGAUAGCGAACAAGUACCGUGAGGGAAAGUUGAAAAGUACUUUGAAGAGAGAGUAAACAGUGCGUGAAACCGCUCAAAGGUAAACGGGUAGAGUUGAACUGCAAGCCCUGAGAAAUCAAUUGGCGAGCGUGGUAUGAUCUUGGUCAUAUAGGUUGGCUUAUAGAGUUCGCGGCUUGCCGUGGGUCCGACCUUUAUGGAAGGAUGCGUUAAGUGCUUAUCAAGCGCUGUGCGCUCUACUAGCGUCGAACCUGCUUACCAGUGCACGUUCUCAGGGUGUUCACCACGACCGACGCGACCGUCUGUCUGUUGUAGUCAAAUUCAGUUUGUUUAGUCCUUGUGGCUUUGCAGACUGGAGAUGGCAGGUAGCAUGAUGGUGUGUAUGCACUGUCUUGUGUAAUGAGCUGGGUGCAACAGAACUGUGCGGUGCGUCGGAGACAGCGGUUUGGUAUAGUUGCGCUUCUGCUAUGUCUGGUAUAGCAGCAGCGGGUCUGGUUGUCAUGUGCUUGCUUGCAAGCCUGAUGAUGGCUCGUUGUUGUGUUGCUAGCGGUGGGGCGUGCUAUACACUAAGGACCUACAGUCUGUGGUGUAGUGGUAGACUAUCUACCCGACCCGUCUUG